CUCUAUACAAAAUUUUAAUCUCUACCCAAAAAGUGGUCAUUUUUAAUUUAUCUUUGUAUUUCUGGCAUUUAGAGCAAUGUCUGGCACAGUGUACCUUAUGGCCAAAAUAAUGGAAGGAAGAAAAGGAGAAAAAGUUGGGGAAAGAGGAAAAGAAGUUAGCAGAGUACAAAGAAUUUUCUUAGCUAUUCUUGGAAGGCACUCAAAUAUACCAGUCUAGCGUGUCAGUUUGGAAACCAGCUCGCCUCCAUCAUUUCCAGACGUUUGACACUAAUGGUUCCAGAGGCUUUUGAGUUCGUAUGGCUGCUUCACAGCAGGACUCUCCCUACGGAAUUGCCGGUGUUUCUAAUUGUUAUUACUCUACUUAUUUGAAGUACUCAAGACGUUAUACUAGCUGGUGCAUCCAGUUCCAUCAAUACUUCUUUGCAGCUUGCACAGAACAAAAGAUAGCAUAGAAGUAAUUUCUGGACCUCCCAUGACCUUAGAUGAACUUUGAAAAAGUUUAAUCACAGCAGGCAAGAAUCUAUCAAAUGGGGCAAGGAGUAACUAUGAUGAAGCUGAUGGGUAGAAUUUGCUAAAGGUAAGGAAAUGAGUUUCUUGCUUGUUUAUUACUCUUGGCGAUAAGAAACCAUAGGGAAUGAUAAAAUGGUGCUCAGAAGAGUUCUGAGACCAUCAGACACAUCAGCAGCAUGAAAUAUCAUGAAAAACAUUGGAACAAGAUGGCUGAUGGCACCUGAGGAUAAGAUCUUGUCUAUAAUUAUAGGAUUAAAAUUUUGUGCAAAUACAUUUUGAGACCAAAUGUAUAUUAAUGUUAUUUCCAGGUACAAGAAACAAAGUGAGAUUUCACAGUGGUAAAUAAAUUUGAAGAUGUGUAUUCUACAUGGAAGGUCAACUAUAUCCAUGCUUUAAUGUUAGGUAAGGAAGCUGAGGUUGCAUAUUACAAAUGUGGCUGUGGGACUUGGAAUUGAUUCCCUUAAAAGAUAGUGGAACCCAUACACACACACACACAAAUGACAGUUAUAGAAAACUACCUUUCUGCCUAAGAUGGUGAAGGACAAAUUGGCUAUCUUUGACUGAAAAAAGUAAUUGAAACCUAUGGCUGGUGCCACAUAUGAGUGAAUUACACUAUAGAGAGGGUACAAGCUGAAAAAUUAAAGUACAGUUCUUAACGAAUAAAUCUUGGUAACCUCAGGAGAAACAAUCAAGUCUACAACUCAUGAUGCAAGCAAAAACUAAUUCUUACAAAAUUUAAACUCGCAG
This 1257-nucleotide long non-coding RNA is filed under the name Aotus nancymaae (Ma's night monkey). Its description in RNAcentral is "lncRNA (ENSANAG00000038710.1)". The record is from RNAcentral. Lineage: Eukaryota; Metazoa; Chordata; Mammalia; Primates; Aotidae.